This 96-nucleotide transfer RNA is filed under the name uncultured Conexibacteraceae bacterium. RNAcentral describes it as "tRNA-Ala". The record is from RNAcentral. Lineage: Bacteria; Bacillati; Actinomycetota; Thermoleophilia; Solirubrobacterales; Conexibacteraceae.
AUGCCGCGCUGACGGCGCGGCGCGCCGCGGCGGUCGCGGCGGCGCCUGAGGACGGCUGGGCAGCAGGCCUGGCGUUCGACAGCGCCAACGGCCUGC